UCCAGCAUCAGUGUGUCGGAUCUCAGCAUCAGUCUCUCUCUUCCUCUGGAGGUGGAAUAUCAGGAUAUAAACAGCUACAGCUGUGUAGUGAACAAUCCUGUCAGCAACCAGACCACACAUCUGGAUAUCGAUCAACUCUGUCAGACAUGUUCAGACUGUGACUACUACUGGAAUCAAACGACUGAAGCUGUGAUCCGAUUGGUCGUCUCUGCUGUGGUGGGCGCGGCUGCUGUUGCUGCUGUUGUUGUACUAUUUUAUGACAUCAGAUCCAGAAGAGCUGGACUGGAGAGGAAAAAAUGUGUUUACCAAACAGUAAUGUACCUAGUAUUAUUAAACAAGAAUAAACAGUCUUUUUAUUUCUGUCACUUUCAUUUGUUCAAAACAUUAUAUCUUUUAUUAGUCUAUUCCAUCGAUCUCCAGUCUAGUAUAGAAAAUGAAAUCUCGAUCUUAACCAACUGCUGUUGUCAGUUUGAUGAAUUUUUUAUUAUUAUUAUUUUUUUUUUUAAUAAACAUUGAAGUGUUUACCUUUCCUUUUCAUUACAAAUAGCUAAUUACAAAAACGUUUAAGUGUUAAAUGUUUGAAAAUAAAAUAUUUUUUUUCUAUCCUGUAAUUUUUUUAAGCUUGUAUGGUCAAGAAAACUAGCAAUAAAAUGUUUUAUUUGGAAGAUGA
Cyprinus carpio (common carp) is the source of this 670-nucleotide long non-coding RNA. RefSeq lists it as uncharacterized. The record is from RefSeq and is a predicted model, not a curated record. NCBI's taxonomy places the organism in Eukaryota, Metazoa, Chordata, Actinopteri, Cypriniformes, Cyprinidae. The transcript is spliced from 2 exons.